UACAGAGGUCCCAAGCGUUUGUUCGGAUUCACUGGGCGUAAAGGGUGCGUAGGCGGUCGGGUAAGUCUGAUGUGAAAUCUCACAGCUUAACUGUGAAACUGCAUUGGAUACUAUUCGGCUUGAGAGUUGGAGGGGGGGACUGGAAUUCUUGGUGUAGCAGUGAAAUGCGUAGAUAUCAAGAGGAACACCAGUGGCGAAGGCGAGUCCCUGGACAACUUUCUGACGCUGAGGCACGAAAGCUAGGGGGAGCAAACAGG
RNAcentral lists this ribosomal RNA (257 nucleotides) under uncultured bacterium. Its description in RNAcentral is "partial 16S ribosomal RNA". It matches the Rfam family "Bacterial small subunit ribosomal RNA", at positions 524 to 776 of the family's 1533-position model. The record is from RNAcentral.